RNAcentral lists this ribosomal RNA (466 nucleotides) under uncultured bacterium. RNAcentral describes it as "partial 16S ribosomal RNA". It matches the Rfam family "Bacterial small subunit ribosomal RNA", at positions 339 to 795 of the family's 1533-position model. The record is from RNAcentral.
CUACGGGACGCUGCAGUGGGGAAUAUUGGACAAUGGGGGAAACCCUGAUCCAGCAAUGCCGCGUGUGCGAAGAAGGCCUGCGGGUUGUAAAGCACUUUCGGUUGGGAGGACUGCUUCUAGCACUAAUAUUGUUGGAAGUUGACGUUACCUUCAGAAGAAGCACCGGCUAACUCCGUGCCAGCAGCCGCGGUAAUACGGAGGGUGCAAGCGUGUAAUCGGAAUUACUGGGCGUAAAGCGCGCGUAGGCGGCUAGAUCAGUCGGGUGUGAAAGCCCCGGGCUUAACCUGGGAACUGCAUCCGAUACUGUCUAGCUUGAGUACAGGAGAGGAGAGUGGAAUUCCACAUGUAGCGGUGAAAUGCGUAGAUAUGUGGAGGAACACUAAUGGCGAAGGCAGCUCUCUGGCCUGAUACUGACGCUGAGGUGCGAAAGCGUGGGGAGCAAACAGGAUUAGAUACCCGUGUAGUC